The sequence is a regulatory RNA element, 61 nucleotides long. It matches the Rfam family "Enterovirus cis-acting replication element". From Rfam's summary of the family: This process is initiated by the covalent attachment of UMP to the terminal protein VPg, yielding VPgpU and VPgpUpU. The record is from Rfam.
UAUUAACAACUACAUACAGUUCAAGAGCAAACACCGUAUUGAACCAGUAUGUUUGCUAGUA